UACGAAGGGGGCUAGCGUUGUUCGGAAUUACUGGGCGUAAAGCGCGCGCAGGCGGUCUUCCAAGUCAGUGGUGAAAGCCUGGAGCUCAACUCCAGAACUGCCAUUGAAACUGUUAGACUUGAGUACGAGAGAGGUGAGUGGAAUUCCCAGUGUAGAGGUGAAAUUCGUAGAUAUUGGGAAGAACACCAGUGGCGAAGGCAGCUCACUGGCUCGUAACUGACGCUCAGGCGCGACAGCGUGGGGAUCAAACAGG
RNAcentral lists this ribosomal RNA (253 nucleotides) under uncultured bacterium. Its description in RNAcentral is "partial 16S ribosomal RNA". It matches the Rfam family "Bacterial small subunit ribosomal RNA", at positions 524 to 776 of the family's 1533-position model. The record is from RNAcentral.